UAAAGCGUGCGCAGGCGGUUAUGUAAGACAGAUGUGAAAUCCCCGGGCUCAACCUGGGAACUGCAUUAGUGACUGCAUAGCUGGAGUACGGCAGAGGGGGAUGGAAUUCCGCGUGUAGCAGUGAAAUGCGUAGAUAUGCGGAGGAACACCGAUGGCGAAGGCAAUCCCCUGGGCCUGUACUGACGCUCAUGCACGAAAGCGUGGGGAGCAAACAGGAUUAGAUACCGGGU
Molecule: ribosomal RNA, 230 nt
Filed under: uncultured bacterium
Lineage: Bacteria
Description: partial 16S ribosomal RNA
Rfam family: Bacterial small subunit ribosomal RNA
Source: RNAcentral